Molecule: ribosomal RNA, 910 nt
Filed under: Psychrobacter sp. IF4R2A
Lineage: Bacteria; Pseudomonadati; Pseudomonadota; Gammaproteobacteria; Moraxellales; Moraxellaceae
Description: bacterial SSU rRNA
Rfam family: Bacterial small subunit ribosomal RNA
Source: RNAcentral
AGAAGCUUGCUUCUCGCUGACGAGCGGCGGACGGGUGAGUAAUACUUAGGAAUCUACCUAGUAGUGGGGGAUAGCUCGGGGAAACUCGAAUUAAUACCGCAUACGACCUACGGGAGAAAGGGGGCAACUUGUUGCUCUCGCUAUUAGAUGAGCCUAAGUCGGAUUAGCUAGAUGGUGGGGUAAAGGCCUACCAUGGCGACGAUCUGUAGCUGGUCUGAGAGGAUGAUCAGCCACACCGGGACUGAGACACGGCCCGGACUCCUACGGGAGGCAGCAGUGGGGAAUAUUGGACAAUGGGGGCAACCCUGAUCCAGCCAUGCCGCGUGUGUGAAGAAGGCCUUUUGGUUGUAAAGCACUUUAAGCAGUGAAGAAGACUCCAUGGUUAAUACCCAUGGACGAUGACAUUAGCUGCAGAAUAAGCACCGGCUAACUCUGUGCCAGCAGCCGCGGUAAUACAGAGGGUGCAAGCGUUAAUCGGAAUUACUGGGCGUAAAGCGAGCGUAGGUGGCUUGAUAAGUCAGAUGUGAAAGCCCCGGGCUUAACCUGGGAACGGCAUCUGAUACUGUUAGGCUAGAGUAGGUGAGAGGAAGGUAGAAUUCCAGGUGUAGCGGUGAAAUGCGUAGAGAUCUGGAGGAAUACCGAUGGCGAAGGCAGCCUUCUGGCAUCAUACUGACACUGAGGUUCGAAAGCGUGGGUAGCAAACAGGAUUAGAUACCCUGGUAGUCCACGCCGUAAACGAUGUCUACUAGUCGUUGGGUCCCUUGAGGACUUAGUGACGCAGCUAACGCAAUAAGUAGACCGCCUGGGGAGUACGGCCGCAAGGUUAAAACUCAAAUGAAUUGACGGGGGCCCGCACAAGCGGUGGAGCAUGUGGUUUAAUUCGAUGCAACGCGAAGAACCUUACCUGGUC